This is a long non-coding RNA of Sceloporus undulatus (fence lizard), 998 nucleotides long. RefSeq lists it as uncharacterized. The transcript is spliced from 2 exons. The record is from RefSeq and is a predicted model, not a curated record. NCBI's taxonomy places the organism in Eukaryota, Metazoa, Chordata, Lepidosauria, Squamata, Phrynosomatidae.
CUUCCUUCUCUUCUCCUUUUCUUCAUCUCCUUUCUGUCUUCCUCCUCCAUCCCUCCCUUGCCACCUGCAGCCCUCCCUCCCUCCUUCUCUCCUACCUGCAAAGGAGAAGAGUUGCUCCGAAGCCUCUCUGCUCAGCCGCUGCACCCAGGAAACGCGAGUGUGCUUGGAAGGAAGGAAGGAAGGAAGGAAGGAAGGAAGGGCGGCUGGCUUGGCGAGUGGGGCCGGCUGGAGCAGGGCAAGGGACGCCGCAGGCCUCGGGUUGCUCUGCACAGCUGGGCCCUGUUUGGUGGAAAUGGGUGGCUGCGGAAGCCUUGAGGACGAGGACGAUCAGGAAUCUUGCCAGAGUUGCAAGCUUAUUGCAACCAAAGCCUUGGCCAAGGUCCACUUCAAGGCAAUUCAAGGGGUGUCACCCAGGAUCCUUGCUGCGGUGCAGCUCCAGCCAUUCACAGCUGCCUUACACUCUCUUUCCAGGCGCAUCAUUCACACCAGAGACUCAUCCCUCAUUUACAGCCUUCAGGACGACUUCAAAAGCAUGGCUGGCCUGGCCAGUGGGGAAGGCUGGGAAACUCUCCCAUGCCAAAAGAAACGCCUUGCACCUUAAAGGCCAUUUGGAUUCUACAAACCUGCUUUCCUGAUUUGAGCAACUUCUCACAUGUGACCCAACCAAUGCUGAGAUGAGAGGUCUUUCAAUGUUUUCCACUGACUGUCUACCUGUGAGAUUCCAACAAUAUAGCAACAAGCUCUUCAUGUGAAAUAUUUGCAUUUCCCCUUUCAAAAAUGUAUAAUAGUGAUGAAGCCUCUUGAGUUAUUUUCUUCAAAAAAUUAAUUACUAUAUUCCAAAAAAAUUACCACAUUGGUGCAAUACAACUAUAUAUAAUAUAUUGUCCCAAUUGCACCAUAGCCUACCAACAAUACAUUUUACUAUUCAUUUUGUGAGAUUUAACUAGUGCUAAAUUCCAUCUAUGAAUAAAUUGGAAUAUACAUUCCCUAUUAAUUUA